UACGUAGGGUGCAGGCGUUAAUCGGAAUCAUUGGGCGUAAAGCGCACGUAGGCGGACCAUCAAGUCGGAUGUGAAAUCCCUCGGCUUAACCGAGGACGUGCAUUCGAAACUGAUGGCCUUGAGUACGAAAGAGGAUCGCGGAAUUCCCGGUGUAGAGGUGAAAUUCGUAGAUAUCGGGAGGAACACCAGUGGCGAAGGCGGCGAUCUGGGUCGAUACUGACGCUGAGGUGCGAAAGCGUGGGGAGCAAACAGG
RNAcentral lists this ribosomal RNA (253 nucleotides) under uncultured bacterium. RNAcentral's name for it is "partial 16S ribosomal RNA". It matches the Rfam family "Bacterial small subunit ribosomal RNA", at positions 524 to 776 of the family's 1533-position model. The record is from RNAcentral.